Pan troglodytes (chimpanzee) is the source of this 87-nucleotide microRNA precursor. Ensembl annotates it as microRNA 124-3. Its record names the gene MIR124-3. Lineage: Eukaryota; Metazoa; Chordata; Mammalia; Primates; Hominidae. The record is from Ensembl.
UGAGGGCCCCUCUGCGUGUUCACAGCGGACCUUGAUUUAAUGUCUAUACAAUUAAGGCACGCGGUGAAUGCCAAGAGAGGCGCCUCC